This 644-nucleotide long non-coding RNA is filed under the name Parus major (Great Tit). RNAcentral's name for it is "lncRNA (ENSPMJG00000000858.1)". The record is from RNAcentral. Lineage: Eukaryota; Metazoa; Chordata; Aves; Passeriformes; Paridae.
UUUUCACUCGUGCAGUUGGGAACAAUGUGGGCUUUUAACCACAAAAUCAUCCUUGGUCUGUGCAGAGUUUAGUGCAAACUCUCCUUCUAUUUCCUUCCCAAACUCACCUUGGCUGUGGGAUAUGGGAAGAGAUAUGAUCCUGGAUUUCCUACAGGAAUGUGUGAGAAAUAGAUGUGGAAGUGGAACAACAAGCUGUUUAAAAAGUACCAUGAAGGAUCCAUGGGCCAAGGCAGAUCAACGUUCAGCAAGUGAUUUACAGGUGUGCCAGCCACUGUCAGCCAAAGCACAGUGCUCUGGGAUUCAAACAGCACUGAAGAGUCCACCUGCAGGGUGCCACAGCCUCUGCAGCUGCCUCAGGUUGUGCUGCUGCUGUUGUGUGUCUGAGUCCCAGCGCUGGAAAUGAAAAGGUUCAGAGAAUCCUGACACCAAGGAGAGGCACAAAGCUGCACUCUGCUCCUGACAGCUUCUCUUUACACCACAGCUUUUCCUCUGAGCAUGUUCCAGUGUCUCUGCACUCCCAGUCCACCUGCAGCAGCCAGGGCCAGGCUCUCAUAGCCUGGCUCUCCUGCUGGGAGCCUCUCAGAGCACGAGCCACCUCCCUUCCAGCAGAUCGCAGGUGUUCUCCACAUGGCGUGAGCAGGUGA